CUUACGCCCAAAAGUCCUUGUAUGGAUCAGUUCCCAAGAACAAUAUCAUCAUCCUUCAAGAAGUAUGUACCUGGACAACCCUCUACAGAUAAUAUAUGGAAAGCCAUCUAUAUGUUUGUUCCCUCUCAUUUUCAGUGUGUCGGCUUCCUACUUUUGGCCUGGCCCAUUCACCAGAAAUGGAUUCCAUCACACUGGUCCGACGAUGUGAGGGAUUGGUCCAUCGCAGGAAGUCGGUCGAGCUGAGCUUUUUGAGAUACUUCAAGAAACUAUUAGGUUGUCCAACGAAUUUUCUUCGAAGGUUUCUGACUAUGAACGCGCAUUAACUACGUUCCAAAAAAGUAAAUCUACACAUUAAAAACAAACAGGUUCCUACUAUCUAUGUAGGUAUUAAACAAGUGGUCUCAAAUACGAAAUAAUUUAUUCAUCAUGCUACAAUCUAUAAGACAGAUGGAA
Molecule: long non-coding RNA, 453 nt
Organism: Uranotaenia lowii
Lineage: Eukaryota; Metazoa; Arthropoda; Insecta; Diptera; Culicidae
Exons: 3
Source: RefSeq, a predicted model, not a curated record